UACGAAGGGGGCUAGCGUUGCUCGGAAUCACUGGGCGUAAAGGGUGCGUAGGCGGGCCUUUAAGUCAGGGGUGAAAUCCUGGAGCUCAACUCCAGAACUGCCUUUGAUACUGAAGAUCUUGAGUUCGGGAGAGGUGAGUGGAACUGCGAGUGUAGAGGUGAAAUUCGUAGAUAUUCGCAAGAACACUAGUGGCGAAGGCGGCUCACUGGCCCGAUACUGACGCUGAGGCGCGAAAGCGUGGGGAGCAAACAGG
Molecule: ribosomal RNA, 253 nt
Filed under: uncultured bacterium
Lineage: Bacteria
Description: partial 16S ribosomal RNA
Rfam family: Bacterial small subunit ribosomal RNA
Source: RNAcentral